GGUGUCUUCAGGUUAGACGCAGCGCCCAGGGGCGGCUGAAGAAACGUGAGGGGUGUGGACAAAUCCUCCAAGAUUUAACUUCCAAGAAAACCGGCGGCGGAGCGGGUGGAGGAGGCGAGGAUGUGUGGCCAAUGCACGCGGAGUGCAAGGCAAGCCGCCUAGUUGGGAGCCGCAAGAGCCUGCCUGGUGUGGCAGGCACACGGAACCCAAUCCCUGUCUGUCCGCUGCGGCCUGGGAGGGGAGCGCCGGCCUCACCAGAGGAAGGAGCACGAGGGGAGGAGUUCCGAGAGGAAAUAAUUAGUGAAAUAUUUGCAGAAGAUGCUGGGAUGUGGAUUUAAUUCCGGAUGGACAGUGGUGCUUCUGAUUCCCUCAGUCUGUUUCCCCACCCACGAUCUCCUCUUUCCUUGGCCUAGACACACCAAAAAUAAUUCAAUAAAAUAAAAAUAAAAAUUUAAAAAUC
This 460-nucleotide long non-coding RNA is filed under the name Homo sapiens (human). RNAcentral's name for it is "FOXD3 antisense RNA 1". Lineage: Eukaryota; Metazoa; Chordata; Mammalia; Primates; Hominidae. The record is from RNAcentral.